This 461-nucleotide long non-coding RNA is filed under the name Chinchilla lanigera (long-tailed chinchilla). RNAcentral describes it as "lncRNA (ENSCLAG00000028916.1)". Lineage: Eukaryota; Metazoa; Chordata; Mammalia; Rodentia; Chinchillidae. The record is from RNAcentral.
AGAAGAGCCAGGAGCGUGAGCAGUGGUGCUGGAAACUUCUCCCUGAUGCAAGACUGGUAUGGAGGCCAGUUCAGCAGCUGCGGGCGGUGCCUGCCAGGUGGAGCUGGGCGUAAGGGUGAUGGCGGAAGAAACACAGGAGGCCUCUUUCCUAUGGGCAAACUGCUACCAGUGGGCAGCCGUGGCUGGGUGCACAUCCUCAGGAGCAGCCCUGCCCUCAGAGUGAGCCCUCCCCCACGCUGCCUGGGACUCGGGUCUGAAGAGUUCUCCGUGCUCAGGUUUCCAUGGAUACUGACAACAAACUUUGUUUGGUCUAAUGAGAAGUCUCAUGCUAAUAAAGGCAGGAGCUGCAUUUGACAAUACACACUAAAAUCAUUCUUCUAUACUUAGCAAUUAAUUUGAAGGACACCCAUUUGUAGAGAUAAUUUAAACAGAGCAGGUUUCUACCCCACAUAAUAACCCAC